GGGAGGGGAGGGCAGAGUUAUGCAUCCAGGACUGAGAAAAGAGCAAAACAGGGCCCAGUACCGGAAACAGUAUGAACCACGAGCGCGCCCUCACACUGUCCAACCAAGAGGCCUGUUUUAAAUAAGAAAACAUCGCCAGUCUUCACCACAGAAGCUUUGAGCAGGAUAAGCACCAGACGAGCGGUGAGGCGGCGCCGGGGACCCUCACCAGGUUUCCUAAAUGAGUUUCUGCACUGCGCGGAGUGCACCACUUCCUUAAUCCAAUAUCUGAUGAAGGGGCCAGGAGAGAGGAAUUAAUUUCCACGCACUAAUUAAAGAGGGGUGGGCACCGUCUACACGGCGCAAGUCUCUGAAAUGAAUAUUUGAUAAACAAUAUCUGGUAAAUUAAAAACCUGAAAUGUUAAAUUAAAUGCAAAUUAAGAAUCUGGAAUGUUUAAUUAAAGACACAAGACGGCAUCGAGUAACAUUACGGGUCUCGGUUAAAGCGGGGAAGGACGGAAAAAAAAGAAGUUGCCAACAUUACACGCUUCUCACCUGCCGGGAGUCACCGAGGGCCGAGAGCUUCAGGUCGCCCACGGAAUAAAACACGCGCAUCCUGUAACCGCCUCUGCGGAGUUUCCUAUCAUAGCGAACGUGCCAGGCUUAUUCGAAAUCACCGCCUCCGUUUCUUUCUUUCCUUUUUUGAGACAGGGUCUUGCUGUGUAGCCCAGGCUGUCCUCGAAUGAACUUGCGGAGACCCUUCUGCCUCAGCCCACGGAGUACUGGGAUUCCUGGCCCGCACCACCAGUCUGGCGCUGACUCCCGUUCUAGCUUGAGCUUUUGUGCAUUGCCGUCACCUGUUUCCAUGGCUUCCCCGCCGCGAUGGAUGCUGGAUUUCUGGACCGCAAAGGCCUGUGAUUGGCCUGUGCCUGUAGCACUGAGUACUUGACUGGUGCAUGUUGUGUGCUUAAAUAUGAAUAUGGGUG
Molecule: long non-coding RNA, 965 nt
Filed under: Fukomys damarensis (Damara mole-rat)
Lineage: Eukaryota; Metazoa; Chordata; Mammalia; Rodentia; Bathyergidae
Description: lncRNA (ENSFDAG00000030323.1)
Source: RNAcentral